CCUACGGGUGGGCAGCAGUGGGGAAUAUUGGACAAUGGGCGAAAGCCUGAUCCAGCCAUGCCGCGUGUGUGAAGAAGGCCUUCGGGUUGUAAAGCACUUUCAGUGGGGAAGAAAGCCUUGGGGCUAAUACCCUCGAGGAAGGACAUCACCCACAGAAGAAGCACCGGCUAACUCCGUGCCAGCAGCCGCGGUAAUACGGAGGGUGCGAGCGUUAAUCGGAAUUACUGGGCGUAAAGCGCGCGUAGGCGGUCUGAUAAGCCGGUUGUGAAAGCCCCGGGCUCAACCUGGGAACGGCAUCCGGAACUGUCAGGCUAGAGUGCAGGAGAGGAAGGUAGAAUUCCCGGUGUAGCGGUGAAAUGCGUAGAGAUCGGGAGGAAUACCAGUGGCGAAGGCGGCCUUCCGGACUGACACUGACGCUGAGGUGCGAAAGCGUGGGUAGCAAACAGGAUUAGAUACCCUAGUAGUC
Molecule: ribosomal RNA, 466 nt
Filed under: Vreelandella stevensii
Lineage: Bacteria; Pseudomonadati; Pseudomonadota; Gammaproteobacteria; Oceanospirillales; Halomonadaceae
Description: partial 16S ribosomal RNA
Rfam family: Bacterial small subunit ribosomal RNA
Source: RNAcentral